GCUUGGGAUGCGGCUGGUGGGCUCCCUCCGGUGUCCCUGUGUCUUCUCUGCAGGUGUCCCGGCAGGUAGAGGAGGAGGCCAGUGGCUGGUGUUCCUUCAAGGCGGGGCUGGGACUCCUCGAUGUCCUUACGCUCGCCCUGCAGGUUCUGCGCCCCAGGACCCGGCAGGGACGGCAACAGGCCGGGAAGUAGUGACACCUGGGGCAGUCAGUCAUCCAGGAGCCGCCGCCACCCGCCCCACCCCCAGUCUCUGCAGGAGGUGUUUGUCUUCGCCUCUGCUCCCGGCUCUUUCUCUUUCACUUUUCUUUUCGCCAGUGGUUGGGACUCCGGGUGGAAGGCGCCCGGGGGAAUCCCAGCUGACUCGCUCACUGCCUUCGAAGUCCGGCGUCCCCCGGGAGGGAACUGGGUGGCCGCACCCUCCCGGCUGCGGUGGCUGUCGUCCCCCACCCUGCAGCCAGGACUCGAUGGAGAAUCCAUUCCAAUAUAUGGCCAUGUGGCUCUUUGGAGCAGUGUUCCAUCAUGUUCCACGAUGGUGACAUCAUACAGAGCACAGAAAUCAAUGUUAGCAGAUAACCAGCCCAUAUAAAAUCGAGUAAGUAAAGUUUUAAAAAUUGUAUCAUGCAAUAUAGAUACUUUUAUGUAAUAGCAUA
Molecule: long non-coding RNA, 649 nt
Filed under: Rhinopithecus roxellana (golden snub-nosed monkey)
Lineage: Eukaryota; Metazoa; Chordata; Mammalia; Primates; Cercopithecidae
Description: lncRNA (ENSRROG00000045850.1)
Source: RNAcentral